Molecule: ribosomal RNA, 2153 nt
Filed under: Salmonella enterica
Lineage: Bacteria; Pseudomonadati; Pseudomonadota; Gammaproteobacteria; Enterobacterales; Enterobacteriaceae
Description: partial 23S ribosomal RNA
Rfam family: Bacterial large subunit ribosomal RNA
Source: RNAcentral
GGAGGGAAACCGAGUCUUAACCGGGCGUUAAGUUGCAGGGUAUAGACCCGAAACCCGGUGAUCUAGCCAUGGGCAGGUUGAAGGUUGGGUAACACUAACUGGAGGACCGAACCGACUAAUGUUGAAAAAUUAGCGGAUGACCUGUGGCUGGGGGUGAAAGGCCAAUCAAACCGGGAGAUAGCUGGUUCUCCCCGAAAGCUAUUUAGGUAGCGCCUCGUGAAUUCAUCUCCGGGGGUAGAGCACUGUUUCGGCUAGGGGGCCAUCCCGGCUUACCAACCCGAUGCAAACUGCGAAUACCGGAGAAUGUUAUCACGGGAGACACACGGCGGGUGCUAACGUCCGUCGUGAAGAGGGAAACAACCCAGACCGCCAGCUAAGGUCCCAAAGUCAUGGUUAAGUGGGAAACGAUGUGGGAAGGCCCAGACAGCCAGGAUGUUGGCUUAGAAGCAGCCAUCAUUUAAAGAAAGCGUAAUAGCUCACUGGUCGAGUCGGCCUGCGCGGAAGAUGUAACGGGGCUAAACCAUGCACCGAAGCUGCGGCAGCGACACUGUGUGUUGUUGGGUAGGGGAGCGUUCUGUAAGCCUGUGAAGGUGUGUCGUGAGGCAUGCUGGAGGUAUCAGAAGUGCGAAUGCUGACAUAAGUAACGAUAAAGCGGGUGAAAAGCCCGCUCGCCGGAAGACCAAGGGUUCCUGUCCAACGUUAAUCGGGGCAGGGUGAGUCGACCCCUAAGGCGAGGCCGAAAGGCGUAGUCGAUGGGAAACGGGUUAAUAUUCCCGUACUUGGUGUUACUGCGAAGGGGGGACGGAGAAGGCUAUGUUGGCCGGGCGACGGUUGUCCCGGUUUAAGCGUGUAGGUGUGUGUUCCAGGUAAAUCCGGUUCACUUUAACACUGAGGCGUGACGACGAGGCACUACGGUGCUGAAGCAACAAAUGCCCUGCUUCCAGGAAAAGCCUCUAAGCAUCAGGUAACAUCAAAUCGUACCCCAAACCGACACAGGUGGUCAGGUAGAGAAUACCAAGGCGCUUGAGAGAACUCGGGUGAAGGAACUAGGCAAAAUGGUGCCGUAACUUCGGGAGAAGGCACGCUGACACGUAGGUGAAGUGAUUUACUCAUGGAGCUGAAGUCAGUCGAAGAUACCAGCUGGCUGCAACUGUUUAUUAAAAACACAGCACUGUGCAAACACGAAAGUGGACGUAUACGGUGUGACGCCUGCCCGGUGCCGGAAGGUUAAUUGAUGGGGUCAGCGCAAGCGAAGCUCCUGAUCGAAGCCCCGGUAAACGGCGGCCGUAACUAUAACGGUCCUAAGGUAGCGAAAUUCCUUGUCGGGUAAGUUCCGACCUGCACGAAUGGCGUAAUGAUGGCCAGGCUGUCUCCACCCGAGACUCAGUGAAAUUGAACUCGCUGUGAAGAUGCAGUGUACCCGCGGCAAGACGGAAAGACCCCGUGAACCUUUACUAUAGCUUGACACUGAACAUUGAGCCUUGAUGUGUAGGAUAGGUGGGAGGCUUUGAAGUGUGGACGCCAGUCUGCAUGGAGCCGACCUUGAAAUACCACCCUUUAAUGUUUGAUGUUCUAACGUGGACCCGUUACCCGGGUUGCGGACAGUGUCUGGUGGGUAGUUUGACUGGGGCGGUCUCCUCCUAAAGAGUAACGGAGGAGCACGAAGGUUGGCUAAUCCUGGUCGGACAUCAGGAGGUUAGUGCAAUGGCAUAAGCCAGCUUGACUGCGAGCGUGACGGCGCGAGCAGGUGCGAAAGCAGGUCAUAGUGAUCCGGUGGUUCUGAAUGGAAGGGCCAUCGCUCAACGGAUAAAAGGUACUCCGGGGAUAACAGGCUGAUACCGCCCAAGAGUUCAUAUCGACGGCGGUGUUUGGCACCUCGAUGUCGGCUCAUCACAUCCUGGGGCUGAAGUAGGUCCCAAGGGUAUGGCUGUUCGCCAUUUAAAGUGGUACGCGAGCUGGGUUUAGAACGUCGUGAGACAGUUCGGUCCCUAUCUGCCGUGGGCGCUGGAGAACUGAGGGGGGCUGCUCCUAGUACGAGAGGACCGGAGUGGACGCAUCACUGGUGUUCGGGUUGUCAUGCCAAUGGCACUGCCCGGUAGCUAAAUGCGGAAGAGAUAAGUGCUGAAAGCAUCUAAGCACGAAACUUGCCCCGA